Molecule: ribosomal RNA, 1437 nt
Filed under: uncultured organism
Description: 16S ribosomal RNA
Rfam family: Bacterial small subunit ribosomal RNA
Source: RNAcentral
CAGGCUUAACACAUGCAAGUCGAGGGGCAGCAUGGUCUUAGCUUGCUAAGGCCGAUGGCGACCGGCGCACGGGUGAGUAACACGUAUCCAACCUGCCGUCUACUCUUGGACAGCCUUCUGAAAGGAAGAUUAAUACAAGAUGGCAUCAUGAGUCCGCAUGUUCACAUGAUUAAAGGUAUUCCGGUAGACGAUGGGGAUGCGUUCCAUUAGAUAGUAGGCGGGGUAACGGCCCACCUAGUCUUCGAUGGAUAGGGGUUCUGAGAGGAAGGUCCCCCACAUUGGAACUGAGACACGGUCCAAACUCCUACGGGAGGCAGCAGUGAGGAAUAUUGGUCAAUGGGCGAGAGCCUGAACCAGCCAAGUAGCGUGAAGGACGACUGCCCUAUGGGUUGUAAACUUCUUUUAUAAAGGAAUAAAGUCGGGUAUGGAUACCCGUUUGCAUGUACUUUAUGAAUAAGGAUCGGCUAACUCCGUGCCAGCAGCCGCGGUAAUACGGAGGAUCCGAGCGUUAUCCGGAUUUAUUGGGUUUAAAGGGAGCGUAGAUGGAUGUUUAAGUCAGUUGUGAAAGUUUGCGGCUCAACCGUAAAAUUGCAGUUGAUACUGGAUAUCUUGAGUACAGUUGAGGUAGGCGGAAUUCGUGGUGUAGCGGUGAAAUGCUUAGAUAUCACGAAGAACUCCGAUUGCGAAGGCAGCUUACUAACCUGUAACUGACAUUGAUGCUCGAAAGUGUGGGUAUCAAACAGGAUUAGAUACCCUGGUAGUCCACACGGUAAACGAUGAAUACUCGCUGUAGGCGAUAUACAGUCUGCGGCCAAGCGAAAGCAUUAAGUAUUCCACCUGGGGAGUACGCCGGCAACGGUGAAACUCAAAGGAAUUGACGGGGGCCCGCACAAGCGGAGGAACAUGUGGUUUAAUUCGAUGAUACGCGAGGAACCUUACCCGGGCUUAAAUUGCAGAUGAAUUACGGUGAAAGCCGUAAGCCGCAAGGCAUCUGUGAAGGUGCUGCAUGGUUGUCGUCAGCUCGUGCCGUGAGGUGUCGGCUUAAGUGCCAUAACGAGCGCAACCCUUGUUGUCAGUUACUAACAGGUUCCGCUGAGGACUCUGACAAGACUGCCAUCGUAAGAUGUGAGGAAGGUGGGGAUGACGUCAAAUCAGCACGGCCCUUACGUCCGGGGCUACACACGUGUUACAAUGGGGGGUACAGAGGGCCGCUACCACGCGAGUGGAUGCCAAUCCCCAAAACCUCUCUCAGUUCGGACUGGAGUCUGCAACCCGACUCCACGAAGCUGGAUUCGCUAGUAAUCGCGCAUCAGCCACGGCGCGGUGAAUACGUUCCCGGGCCUUGUACACACCGCCCGUCAAGCCAUGGGAGCCGGGGGUACCUGAAGUGCGUAACCGCGAGGAGCGCCCUAGGGUAAAACUGGUGACUGGGGCUAA